Non-coding RNA from Misgurnus anguillicaudatus (oriental weatherfish), 684 nucleotides. NCBI's taxonomy places the organism in Eukaryota, Metazoa, Chordata, Actinopteri, Cypriniformes, Cobitidae. The record is from RefSeq and is a predicted model, not a curated record.
CGUUGCUACGUUUGUGGCAGGUGGGUUUUGUUUACUGUGAUGUCUGAAACUUUUGAUUUUACUAGAGACUGAUUGUUUGUAUACGUUUAGUGUCGUGUGUGGUUGUAACCAUUCUUGGAUGAGUGAUACGCCGUGAAGACUUCGUUAUCUUUCCUGAUAUCAAAACAUGGCCGUGUCUAAGGGUCUUGGUAAUCCCAUGUUACGUGGAAUGUAAACCCAUUUGGAUGUGACUACAUUGCUGCUUUGCCUGAGUUUGUUUUAUUCCAUUUGUGUAUUUGUGUCCGUAAAGUGGCGACAGUAUUGACUCUUUGUCGGACUGCAUUCAUUUGGUGGUUUGGGCUGGGAAGUACCUACAACAACUACAUUGUCAUCUGAGUUCAGCCCUGCCUGUGACGUAUACCCAGAUGCAGGAAUUGUGGUCGCCUGUAUGAUGGAUCACCAAUGUUAUUUUCUUUUGUUAUUUUUGUAUGUGGUCUUAUGUUUAAUUGUGUAUUGAAGUUGUUCACAUCUACAAAGUGGAGAUUGCCUGAGUUUGUUUACACAAUUUGCUGUGUGGAAAUUUUGUGGUGUUUUCACGAGUGUAUUAUAUAUUAAGUGUGUGGUGACUCUCCAACCCCUGCAGGCGAUCUCCCCUUGUAGAUGUGAUUUUGUUUUUUUGUGUAAACUUCAACAAUAUCAUAUUUU